UCUGAGGUCUAUCCCAAUGGGGCUUCUGCAGAAACCACACAUUGUUGGAAACACCCCAUACAGUAACGCUUGUGGUUUGCUUGACUCACAGGACUGUUUCUUAGGUCUGUGGGAAAGAAUUACAAGACAGUU
This is a small nucleolar RNA of Nannospalax galili (Upper Galilee mountains blind mole rat), 132 nucleotides long. NCBI's taxonomy places the organism in Eukaryota, Metazoa, Chordata, Mammalia, Rodentia, Spalacidae. The record is from Ensembl.